CGCGGCCUAUCAGCUUGUUGGUGGGGUAAUGGCCUACCAAGGCGACGACGGGUAGCCGGCCUGAGAGGGCGACCGGCCACACUGGGACUGAGACACGGCCCAGACUCCUACGGGAGGCAGCAGUGGGGAAUAUUGCACAAUGGGCGAAAGCCUGAUGCAGCGACGCCGCGUGAGGGAUGACGGCCUUCGGGUUGUAAACCUCUUUCAGCAGGGACGAAGCGUAAGUGACGGUACCUGCAGAAGAAGCGCCGGCCGACUACGUGCCAGCAGCCGCGGUAAGACGUAGGGCGCGAGCGUUGUCCGGAUUUAUUGGGCGUAAAGAGCUCGUAGGCGGCUUGUCGUGUCGACUGUGAAAACCCGCAGCUCAACUGCGGGCCUGCAGUCGAUACGGGCAGGCUAGAGUUCGGUAGGGGAGACUGGAAUUCCUGGUGUAGCGGUGGAAUGCGCAGAUAUCAGGAGGAACACCGGUGGCGAAGGCGGGUCUCUGGGCCGAUACUGACGCUGAGGAGCGAAAGCGUGGGGAGCGAACAGGAUUAGAUACCCUGGUAGUCCACGCUGUAAACGUUGGGCGCUAGGUGUGGGGGACCUCUCCGGUUCUCUGUGCCGCAGCUAACGCAUUAAGCGCCCCGCCUGGGGAGUACGG
RNAcentral lists this ribosomal RNA (643 nucleotides) under uncultured bacterium. RNAcentral describes it as "bacterial SSU rRNA". It matches the Rfam family "Bacterial small subunit ribosomal RNA", at positions 232 to 885 of the family's 1533-position model. The record is from RNAcentral.